Molecule: long non-coding RNA, 599 nt
Organism: Mauremys reevesii (Reeves's turtle)
Lineage: Eukaryota; Metazoa; Chordata; Testudines; Geoemydidae
Exons: 3
Source: RefSeq, a predicted model, not a curated record
AGCACCAGCCCCUUGGGGGUGUUGAAGACCCCGGCUCAGGAAGACCCCGUCUACUCCAACAUCGACGACGGGAAAGAGAUGCAGACCCUGGAGCCUGACUCCGGCACCUACGCCGAGCUGGAUCGCCAGACGCUGCAGCCCAAUGUGUACGACAUGAUCAACAUGAGCCAGGGAGUCCCGCAGUGAGAGCCCCCCACAGCCAUGGGGCACCAUCCCCCCAGGGGGCAACAGACUCACCCCCCUCCAGCGCCAGCUCCAGAGAACUCUGCUUCUAGGGAAGAUUUAGGGGGGACGCUGCCCUCUCCCCGCUGCAGCCCCAUCUCAUCAAGCUGCUGUCCCCCUGCCCUGCCCAGACCCACAUAUGGGGGGAGGGGGGACUCAGCACUGGGAGGGGGAGGGGACACAUUAAGGCAGCUUUGAUGUUAUUUUGCAUCCUGUUAACUUCCAGAUUUGUAAUAAACACAGAACCACAAACCAGCCCCCAACCCCCCUGUCCUGGCGCCAGGAGAGUGUGUGUCACACCUGGGGGAGAUGGGAUUGCUCUGGGGAGGGGCAGGGUGCAUAGGCGCUGUCAGGGUUCUCUCCCCACUCUGAACUCU